GGGCGUGUGGUCUAGUGGUAUGAUUCUCGCUUUGGGAGGUUUCUUCAGUUUGUUCUGAGUUACGUUUUAAAUAUGCGAGAGGCCCUGGGUUCAAUUCCCAGCUCGCCCC
This 109-nucleotide transfer RNA is filed under the name Tetrapisispora phaffii CBS 4417. It matches the Rfam family "tRNA". Rfam says of the family: Transfer RNA (tRNA) molecules are approximately 80 nucleotides in length. Lineage: Eukaryota; Fungi; Ascomycota; Saccharomycetes; Saccharomycetales; Saccharomycetaceae. The record is from Rfam by way of RNAcentral.